Non-coding RNA from Parelaphostrongylus tenuis, 73 nucleotides. The record is from the annotation of a GenBank genome assembly. Lineage: Eukaryota; Metazoa; Nematoda; Chromadorea; Rhabditida; Metastrongylidae.
CGCCCGGUGGUGUAAUGGUAGCACGUGCACCCGGUAUGGGUGAAACGCGGGUUCAACUCCCGCCUGAGGUCGA